Molecule: ribosomal RNA, 406 nt
Filed under: uncultured bacterium
Lineage: Bacteria
Description: partial 16S ribosomal RNA
Rfam family: Bacterial small subunit ribosomal RNA
Source: RNAcentral
AUUGAACGCUGGCGGCAGGCCUAACACAUGCAAGUCGAACGAGUGGCGGACGGGUGAGUAAUGUCUGGGAAACUGCCUGACGGAGGGGGAUAACUACUGGAAACGGUAGCUAAUACUGCAUACCAUCAGAUGUGCCCAGAUGGGAUUAGCUUGUUGGUGGGGUAACGCCUCCCCAAGGCGACGAUCCCUAGCUGGUCUGAGAGGAUGACCAGCCACACUGGAACUGAGAGACGGUCCAGACUCUUACGGUAGGCAGCAGUGGGGAAUAUUUCACAAUGGUCGCAAGCCUGAUGCAGCCAUGCCGCGUGUAUGAAGAAGGCCUUCGGGUUGUAAAGUACUUUCAGCGGGGAGGCGUUACCCGCAGAAUAAGCACCGGCUAACUCCGUGCCAGCAGCCGCGGUAAUAC